UACGGAGGGUGCAAGCGUUAAUCGGAAUUACUGGGCGUAAAGCGUGCGUAGGCGGUUUGUUAAGUCAGAUGUGAAAGCCCUGGGCUCAACCUGGGAACUGCAUUUGAUACUGGCAGGCUAGAGUAUGGUAGAGGGAAGUGGAAUUCCGGGUGUAGCGGUGAAAUGCGUAGAUAUCCGGAGGAACACCAGUGGCGAAGGCGACUUCCUGGACCAAUACUGACGCUGAGGUACGAAAGCGCGGGUAGCAAACAGG
This 253-nucleotide ribosomal RNA is filed under the name uncultured bacterium. Its description in RNAcentral is "partial 16S ribosomal RNA". It matches the Rfam family "Bacterial small subunit ribosomal RNA", at positions 524 to 776 of the family's 1533-position model. The record is from RNAcentral.